AUGGAAAAGUCCACAGACCCACUCCAAAAGGCUUUCGGAGCCAUCAUCGACUCAGUGGGUUUUGUCCAACAUGUCUCUGUACCUACUCACUGCCACAGUCAUACUCUGGACCCAGUUUUGUCCCAUGGAAUAAAUGUUGUGGAUCUUAAUGUUUUUCCUCAUAAUCCUGGACUAUCGGACCACCAUUUUAUUAUGUUUGCAAUUGCAACAAAUAAUCUGUUCAGACCCCAACCAAGGAGCAUCAAAAGUUGUGCUAUAAAUUCACAGACAACACAAAGAUUCCUUGAUGCCCUUCCAGACUCCCUUUGUCUACCCAAGGACGUCAGAGGACAAAAAUCUGUUAACCACCUAACUGAGGAACUCAAUUUAACCUUGCACAAUACCCUAGAUGCAGUUGCACCCCUAAAAACUAAAAACAUUUCUCACAAGAAACUAGCUCCCUGGUACACAGAAAAUACCCGAGCUCUGAAGCAAGCUUCCAGAAAAAUGGAACGGAAGUGGCGCCACACCAAACUGGAAGUCUUCCGACUAGCUUGGAAAGACAGUCCCGUGCAGUAUGGAAGAGCCCUUACUGCUGCUCGAUCAUCCUAUUUUUGCAACUUAAUUGAGGAAAAUAAGAACAAUCAGAAAUUUAUUUUUGAUACUGUCGCAAAGCUAACUAAAAAGCAGCAUUCCCCCAAAGAGGAUGGCUUUCACUUCAGCUGUAAUAAAUUCAUGAACUUCUUUGAGGAAAAGAUCAUGAUUAUUAGAAAGCAAAUUACGGACUCCUCUUUAAAUCUGCGUAUUCCUUCAAAGCUCAGUUGUCCUGAGUCUGCACAACUCUGCAAGGACCUAGGAUCAAGAGAGACACUCAAGUGUUUUAGUACUAUAUCUCUUGAUACAAUGAUGAAAAUAAUCAUGGCAUCUAAACCUUCAAGCUGCAUACUGGACCCUAUUCCAACUAAACUACUGAAAGAGCUGCUUCCUGUGCUUGGCCCUCCUAUGUUAAAGAUAAUAAACGGCUCUCUAUCCACCGGAUGUGUACCAAACUCACUAAAAGUGGCAGUAAUAAAGCCUCUCUUGAAAAAGCCAAACCUUGACCCAGAAAAUAUACAAAAACUAUUGGCCUAUAUAGACCCCAUCAUAACACUGAGACUGCACUUGUGA
RNAcentral lists this long non-coding RNA (1146 nucleotides) under Oncorhynchus mykiss (rainbow trout). RNAcentral's name for it is "lncRNA (ENSOMYG00000016306.2)". The record is from RNAcentral. Lineage: Eukaryota; Metazoa; Chordata; Actinopteri; Salmoniformes; Salmonidae.